UUUGAGAGUUUGAUCCUGGCUCAGGAUAAACGUUGGCGGCGUGCCUUAGGCAUGCAAAUCAAGGGGCUCCGACGCAAGUCGGAGAACCGGUGGACGGGUGAGUAAUACGCAGGAAUCUGCCUGGAAGUGGGAUAUAGCUCGGCGAAAGCCGGGGUAAUCUCCCAUGUGAACGCAAGUUUAAAGCCGCAAGGCGCUUCUAGAUGAGCCUGCGUCCUAUCAGCAGGUUGGUGGGGUAAUGGCCUACCAAGGCGACGACGGGUAGCUGGACUGAGAGGUCGGUCAGCCACAAUGGGACUGCGACCAGAACUGAUCGCCUGCGGCCCAUACACCUACGGGUGGCAGCAACCGGGAAUAUUCGACAAUGGACGAAAGUCUGAUCGAGCGACGCCGCGUGGAGGAUGAAGGCCCUCGGGUUGUAAACUCCUUUUAUCUGGGAAGAUUAUGACGGUACCAGAUGAAUAAGCACUUGCUAACUACGUGCCAGAAGCCUCGGUAAUGCGUAGAGUGCAAACGUUAUCCGGAUUUAUUGGGCGUAAAGAGUUGCGUAGGCUGAUCCGUGCAUUUUGUUUGAAAUGCUCUGACUUAAUCAGGGAUUUGGACAAAAUAUGGCGGAUCUUGAUGGUUGGAGAGGGUGCUGGAACCGAUGGUGUAGCAGUGAAAUGCGUUGAUAUCAUCGGGAACACCAAAGGCGUAGGCAGGCACCUAGUCAACCCAUGACGCUGAGGCACGAAAGCUAGGGGAGAGAAAUCGAUUAGAGACCGAUGUAUUCCUAGCCGUAAACUAUGUCCGCUAGAUAGUGGGUUUUCUCACUGUCGCAGCUAACGCGUUAAGCGGACCGCCUGGGGAGUACGAGCGCAAGCUUAAAACUCAAAGGAAUUGACGGGGACCCGCACAAGCAGUGGAGCGUGUUGUUUAAUUCGAUACGAAACGAAAAACCUCACCAGGGUUUGACAUGCUAGAGUUCCAUUCCGCCGAAAGGCGGGAAAUUCGCAAGAAGGCUAGCACAGAUGCUGCAUGGCU
This 1020-nucleotide ribosomal RNA is filed under the name Candidatus Daviesbacteria bacterium GW2011_GWF2_38_7. Its description in RNAcentral is "bacterial SSU rRNA". It matches the Rfam family "Bacterial small subunit ribosomal RNA", at positions 1 to 1050 of the family's 1533-position model. Lineage: Bacteria; Candidatus Daviesiibacteriota. The record is from RNAcentral.